AGUGAACGCUGGCGGUAGGCCUAACACAUGCAAGUCGAACGGCAGCACAGUAAGAGCUUGCUCUUACGGGUGGCGAGUGGCGGACGGGUGAGGAAUACAUCGGAAUCUACUUUUUCGUGGGGGAUAACGUAGGGAAGCUUACGCUAAUACCGCAUACGACCUACGGGUGAAAGCAGGGGAUCUUCGGACCUUGCGCGAUUGAAUGAGCCGAUGUCGGAUUAGCUAGUUGGCGGGGUAAAGGCCCACCAAGGCGACGAUCCGUAGCUGGUCUGAGAGGAUGAUCAGCCACACUGGAACUGAGACACGGUCCAGACUCCUACGGGAGGCAGCAGUGGGGAAUAUUGGACAAUGGGCGCAAGCCUGAUCCAGCCAUACCGCGUGGGUGAAGGAGGCCUUCGGGUUGUAAAGCCCUUUUGUUGGGAAAGAAAAGCAGCAGGUUAAUACCCCGCUGUUCUGACGGUACCCAAAGAAUAAGCACCGGCUAACUUCGUG
Molecule: ribosomal RNA, 492 nt
Filed under: uncultured bacterium
Lineage: Bacteria
Description: partial 16S ribosomal RNA
Rfam family: Bacterial small subunit ribosomal RNA
Source: RNAcentral